AUGAGCAUCCCGUUUUUGGGAAUGAAGACAGAGCAGUCCACAAGUUUAAAGAAGUGGUUCAGGCCAUGCAUUGAAACUGACCUGAGAAGACUCUACUCACACACCAGAGCACAGACCUGUUCUGGAGGACUUCUGACAGGAGGUGGAGGUCUGGCUCUGGGUGAGGAGGUGGAGGUCUGGCUCUGGGUGAGGAGGCAGACACCUUGGGACAAACUACAUUUUACCUUUUUAACAUUGUACAGUUCUAGAGUAUCUUCUACUGUAACAUGUGGGAAUGACGGCCAUUAUUUUAGCUUUGAUAUUAUCCAGUUGGUAACUCUGUUUAUCUUCUGUGGCAAUUAAUGACCGCAGAUAUUUAGAACGUACAAAAGCUGAAGUAACAAAGAACACUAAGCAGUAUCGAUAUUAAAUCAAAUAUACUCAGCCAUAUUCAGGUGCUGGGUUCCGUUGAAGAAAUGUCAAAUUAUCUUCCACCUUGAAAUUAUCUUCAGCCUUCACCGAUGUAAAAAAUGGGCCCGCAAGUAGAACGCUGUUUUGUACGCAGUGAGAGUCCCGUCACGUCAUCGUGGUUAAAAGUACGGCGCAACCAUCGGAAAUUAGCAACAUAUUGUACGACGUACGUGUCAGUAUGUAUUUAAUAUCAAACUUAAGUUGUUUAAGAUAGGGACAACCAUUCCCAAUGGAAACCGACUGAAAAAAAAAAUCCGUUGGCAACGGCUCGAGGUUACGCAAACACAAUCCAGAACGUUCCGCUUGAUUCCCCUCAGGGGACUCCCGUCCAACUAACUGCCAGGUGGUUUCUUAUGGUUUUCAAGACUACAACGUUCUAUGCUAACCAUUUGGUCUAAAUCAAAUGACCGCACUCAGAAACUUCCACGGCGGGAAGCACAAACCGUCCGACUGGAAUCCGAACAUUCCAGCCGGAACCAACCAAAGAAAAACAGAACCAGCGCCUCACCUUGAGCUGAACGGAGGAAGAUCCUGAAGUCCAGCGAUGGUCUUCAUUAAAACACAGCCAACAGACUUACCUUGAGGAGAUCUGUUUGUUGCUGUUGGUCAUUAAUACUAUUCAGUGUACCUUUACAUUAUUACGCACCCAGUGUGUACAAGUUAUAUCACUUAAAACCGUACGAAGAACCAAACUACCAUGUUCGUCCCACAACAACUUUAAACAUAAAAUCCUGGAAUCAGUCAAAACAAAAGCGUGUCUACAUUUUACAAUUAUCUAGAUUAUUCAGGGUAAAAACCAUACAGAGCAAAUCUAAACGUUGAGCUCACAGCGAGCCGACCAUAGCCCUGCAAUGUCACCCUGAACGCCUCAUCACCAACAGCAAAUCAUGCCAGCCAGCCAACACAUGUACAGCUCCAGUGAGAAGUGGGCUUCUGAGUGAAAGGACUGCCAAUGAUAAAAAUAAGCCCAAUUCCUGAACUAUCCAACCAUCUUCAUGGUUUAAAGAUUUACAGACUUGACAUUCCAUUGUGUUCUAAUCACCUUUGUCUGCUCCCUCGUUACUUAUAAAACUCUACAUCUCCAUCACUAGAGUGUUGCAUCCUACUCAUGGGGGUGUGGUCUGAGUGAGCAGAGAUGCAUGCUGGGAUACAGUGCUGUCUGAAGUCUUCAGUUCUACAGACACGCCCCUCAGGAGAAACCAAGUGUUUGAGAAUCUGUCGUGACAUCAGUUACAUGAGCUGGAAUAUCCUUCAAGAUGGCACCAGGAUUCUCAGAGGAGAAAUGCCAAGAGGAAGAUGUGUUGGUUCUUCCUCUCAGCCAGUGGAACACAACAACGGUCUUCAUCAGAGUACCAUGGAACACUUUCAAACAUUCACCUCUUUACACCUUGAAGCCCCAGCGAAGGUUUCCUUACCCCCUCAGCUGAAGAGCACAACUUCAGCUUGAAGAGCGCACUAGCUGGAGUUCCCGGAGUGGUUCUGAUUUGAGGGAACCAAUCGUUCAGCUAGUCCUGUCCGAAACAAAUACAGUUCAGCCUGAGAAGCCGUGCAACUGAGAGCAAGACAAGAUCCACAGGGCUCUCCAUCAAUCCAGCCAGGUAGGAAGAGCCGUCUCAUUACAGGUCUGAAGGUCAUCUUGAAUAUCCAUUUAGGUCCCUUUCCAACGUCAGACUCUCCUUGUGGAAUUCCUUUAGGUGUCCAUCCUCCAUUGAUCCUGAUCGGUAUAGUCCUAGUUUGAAGUCACUGAUCUGAACAUGCCGCUCACAUCCUUUUACACUUGAUUUGGAUACUCUCCUUCCUGCCCAGUGUGUUGGAUAUCACUCCGGAGCGUCACUCAGGGCUCUUCAUGUCUACUGGAGGCCCUUAAGUAGACAUGUGGCCGUCCAUCAGGUAUGAUUUAUUUGACCAUUCCAAUAUCCCAGGCCAAUCACACAGACCCCCGCAUGGACAUUAUCACUGUCAAAGCAAGCCGGACACACACAGAACCCAGGACAGGCACGUAGACCCCCAUGCCAGGUGUGAGUCGGAGACACACAAACACACACAAUAUAGAACCCUAGUGAUGCUCAAAAAUCAUCCCUCUCAUGCCAAACACACACACCACUGAGCCAUAAAAGGCCAAACAAUCAUGCAGGGUAAAAACCUCAUGCCAAAUAACAUUCCAUCAUCCCCCCCCCCCAGCUCUCCUGCCAGGGCACCCAUAACAGAACAACCAAUGUCUCCAGAGACGUAAACUAUGUACAACAUUCUUCAGUGGCGUCCCACAUUGGUGACGGAUUAUGCUUGGCGUCUCCAAAAUGUGUCCCAGGUUGAUUCAACGUCUCUGAAGUCAUGUCUUUGUAGUCCAUUGGUUUCCUGAAUGACGGGCCUUCACAGAUGCAAACGGUGCAGCUUUAGUCAGCCGGAGGACAGGAAGGAGGUCAUCUGUUCAGAAGACCACCCAGUGGAGGGGGGUGGCUCUUGAGGAGCAGGAUCCAUAUGGGGAUGCCCCCAAAUAAGACCUUCUUGGAAAUGAAACUGUUCCUGAGGAGUCACGAUGCCUGGAGGAGACUUGAAUGUGUUCCAUGGUUCUCUGUGUCAGACUGAAGUUGUGUUUUAGUCGUUGAGAUGAAGAGCCCCCUCAUCUCCCCCUGGUGUUUCUCCUUCUGAAUCCCUGAGUCCAUUUUAAAGAACAUUCCAGUCCAUGUAACUGACGUCACGACGGUUUCUCAAACACUCGGUUUCCCCUGAGGGGGCGUGUCUACAGACCUGUAGACUUCAGACAGCUCUGUAUCCCAGUAUGCACCUCCGCUCGCUCAGACCACACCCUCAUCAGUAAAGCAACACUCAUGUGAUGAAGAUGCAGAGCUCAGGAGAGUAGAAUGAAAGAAGACUGAAGAUAUCAGAACCCAACCCAUUACUCCUGCUUACAAUAAUUCACUGGAGCCUGUAACCAUUUUAACAAAUCAUUAAAACCAACAUAAACCAAACACCUAAGUAACCCAUGAACCAAUAAAACAUCCUUACUCAGAUCAACCUUCAGGUAACGGGUUAACUCACCAGGAAGCCAAAAUACAUCAAUGUGCCCAAGAGUAAUGAGAAAUUAAUGACUUACAGUUUGCAGUUCAUCUUCAUGGUUACGUUGGGAUACUCACAGAACUGCAGUUAAAUAUCCAUGAUAGACCUUUGAAGGAAGGAACAGUUUACUCAUGGUCCAAAUUU
This 3651-nucleotide long non-coding RNA is filed under the name Gadus morhua (Atlantic cod). RNAcentral's name for it is "lncRNA (ENSGMOG00000024798.1)". The record is from RNAcentral. Lineage: Eukaryota; Metazoa; Chordata; Actinopteri; Gadiformes; Gadidae.